Molecule: ribosomal RNA, 387 nt
Filed under: Telonemia sp.
Lineage: Eukaryota; Telonemia
Description: partial small subunit ribosomal RNA
Rfam family: Eukaryotic small subunit ribosomal RNA
Source: RNAcentral
AUUCCAGCUCCAAUAGCGUAUAUUAAAGUUGUUGCAGUUAAAAAGCUCGUAGUUGGAGUUCAGGGUGAGCUCAGCCGGUCGGCGUCAUGCGUCAGAACUGGUCGACUCUCCCUUGUUUGUGGAUCCCGCCCGGAGUUAACUCUUCGGGAUGUGGAGUUCACAUCGUUUACCUUGAAAAAAUUAGAGUGUUCAAAGCAGGCGUUUGCUUGAAUAUAUUAGCAUGGAAUAAUGGAAUAGGACCCUGGUUCUAUUUUGUUGGUUUUGAGAACCAGAGUAAUGAUUAAUAGGGAUAGUUGGGGGCAUUCAUAUUUCAUUGUCAGAGGUGAAAUUCUUGGAUUUAUGAAAGAUGAACUUCUGCGAAAGCAUUUGCCAAGGAUGUUUUCAUUA